RNAcentral lists this ribosomal RNA (253 nucleotides) under uncultured bacterium. Its description in RNAcentral is "partial 16S ribosomal RNA". It matches the Rfam family "Bacterial small subunit ribosomal RNA", at positions 524 to 776 of the family's 1533-position model. The record is from RNAcentral.
UACGGAGGGGGCGAGCGUUGUCCGAAGUUACUGGGCGUAAAGCGCGCGUAGGCGGGAGGCCAAGUCCGCUGUGAAAGCCCGAGGCUUAACCUCGGUAGGUCGGUGGAGACUGGUCUUCUUGAAGGUGCUAGGGGGAGAUGGAAUUAUCGGUGUAGCGGUGAAAUGCGUAGAUAUCGAUAGGAACACCAGUGGCGAAGGCGGUCUCCUGGGGCAUUCUUGACGCUGAGGCGCGAAAGCUGGGGGAGCGAACGGG